Molecule: small nuclear RNA, 108 nt
Organism: Sciurus carolinensis (gray squirrel)
Lineage: Eukaryota; Metazoa; Chordata; Mammalia; Rodentia; Sciuridae
Source: RefSeq, a predicted model, not a curated record
GUGCUCACUUCAACAGCACAUAUAUUACAAUUUGAACUAUACAGAGAAGAUUAGCAUGGCCCCUGCGGCAAAGCUGACAUGCAAAUUCAUGAAGCAUUCCAUAUUUUU